GCUGGAAUUGCUGUAAUGGCAGGUCAGCAUACUGCCGUGAAUACGUUCCCGGGCCCUUGUACACACCGCCCGUCACCACCAUGAGAGUUGGGAAUACCCGAAGCCUGUGAGCUAACUGUAAGGAGGCAGCAGUCGAAGGUAGAAUCAAUGAUUGGGGUGAAGUCGUAACAAGGUACC
RNAcentral lists this ribosomal RNA (177 nucleotides) under uncultured bacterium. RNAcentral describes it as "partial 16S ribosomal RNA". It matches the Rfam family "Bacterial small subunit ribosomal RNA", at positions 1325 to 1500 of the family's 1533-position model. The record is from RNAcentral.